RNAcentral lists this long non-coding RNA (3007 nucleotides) under Strigops habroptila (Kakapo). RNAcentral's name for it is "lncRNA (ENSSHBG00005004020.1)". The record is from RNAcentral. Lineage: Eukaryota; Metazoa; Chordata; Aves; Psittaciformes; Psittacidae.
CAUUGUUUAGAAAUUUAUUAGCAAUUUUAAAAUAACAUCAUUCAUUAGAUAAAAAUGCAAUCUUACAGGAAUAUACAUUUGUCCCACACAGAGAUGACCCUAUAGCUCGCUGGCGGGCCAUUCACUCUAACUUUCCUCUGUUGAUUUUAAAACGUGCGAGAGGGCAAGACGGACUCUGGCACUGAUGACAGGCUUACAUGACGGUUACAAACUGUACAGCAUUAUUUACAAAAGCAUUUCUGUGAGUUCAUGAAAACUAGAUAUAAAAUUGUGGAAGGAGGUAAAGAAUUGAGAUGGGGAAGGGCUUGGGUGGAGGUGCAAGAGAGGGUGGGCGGGGAGUGUAGGGAAGAGUGGGAGAGGAGGUUUAUGUCUGGACUGAUUUAUACUUGAGAGAGGUCAUUUUACAGCUCUGGGCAAUUCAAAUGAAGGCAAAACACUUAUAUUUAUCAACAUUUAUAGCUGAUGAUCAGAGCAGGAAAUGGUGCUCCAGGGCCUGAACUUAAGAGGUGCUGAGGAACCCCAUCUUCCCUGAAGUCACCGGGAAACACAGUUAUGCAGUACCUUGCCGGGCCAGGCCCAAACCAUGCAGCUGCAGGCCAGAUAGAGGUGCCCCCCAGAUCUUACGUAGUUUUGAUCCUGCAGUGCUCAGUCACUGGCGCUGAUGUGAGUUCAGACUGAGUGUGAGAUCAGCUCCCAAAACCUUUCACCCCUGAAACUGGACUAGAUGCCAACCACUUCUUGCCAGAAUUCACCCAAAGCGACUUAUCCCCUGCUCUACCAAGCGGCAAUUGUUUGGAGGGAGAUUUCAUCAUUCAGAAUUGAUUUUUAAGGCAGUUUUAAAAGAAUCUCCCCCUUUUAUUUUUGUGUGUGAUGCAGCAAUGUUUGUCAAAGAGAUAUUUACAAUCUCGAUCCUCCUCUGAAACCUUCCCACAUUCAAACUGUCAAGGCUGAAUAAGCCUGAAACAAUCACUUCUAUGAGCAAUCAUAAAGUUGAUGAUGUUUAGAUAGUAUUGGCUGCCAGUCUAGCUAGGUGCUUGAGAUGGGAGCAGGCUGGCUUCAGAUGCUUAAAAUACUGACAGCAUUACAGCCUGUUGGGAAGGAACUUGCAUUUUGCCUUGCUGGGCAAAAUGCAACAAGAAAACGCAGGUAUCUAAUCGUCCAAAUAACGAGUCUGCUGAAUGGUGUCUGAGUUUGCGUAUCUGUCUUGAAUAGGAAAAUGCUUUGGAAAGGGGCUGUUUGAACACUGACAGAAAAAAACCUGUUGUUGGGUGGAGUGUUGCCUGCUCUCGCCUGGGCUUGCUCCUGCUCCACUGGGUCUGGGAUGCAGCCGCUAACCCUGGCCUGACGUAAAGGCCGGGCAGAGCGCCGUGAACUUCAGGCUGUAGGAGUGGAGGCUGUCUGCAUGAGGUGGGGUAGGAAAACAACUGCAUGGGAGUGUGGAGACCAGCUCCCAGUUGUGCCUAACUAAGCCCUUGGUAAUGGUAAUGAAGAUUCCCUUGUUACAUCAGUCAUUGGUACUGCUCCUCUCCAUUAGCCCUUUAGAAAGGGCCUUGAUUAAGUUGCCUAAUUGUCUCCUGCCACCUGAGAUCUCUGCCAUCCAGGUGGGACCAGUAGCUGUAGUACUAGCCGUGGGGAAGAGACAUGCCUUUCUGGACCAGCUGCUGCAAGCCAGAGAGAGUGCUGUAGGGGAUCUCAAGUGGUAGCAUAUGCCCACAUUUAGGCAACUGAGCUGAGCCCUGUGCCCCUAAAGAAGGCCUGUUUUUUAUGCUCAAGUGUUAACACUUAAGUAAAGCCCCUCGUAAGGGCCAGGGGAAGAAUGGAGGAUUUAACUAGAACACUAAAGUUUAUAUCAGAAGAAGUUGGGUUUUUUUUCCAUUCCAGUGUGAUGCUACUGACUUCUCCGAAAGCAGUUGGAGCCCAGUCUGUCUGCAGUGCAGUACAGGACAUCUCUCUCUUGGCUGUGCUUCUGCCCUCGCCUGCCCCAUCUCAGGGUGCUUAGCAGCAAGGCCAUAGCGGAUUCAGCUGUACAGAAACAAAACAGCAACAGAGAGCAAAGCUCCACAGACUGAGAUCCCAUUGGAAAUCUUCUGGAUCUCUGGGCUUGCUAACCCAGGAUAAAACUUUGAAAACUUUGCAACAUUUAAAAAGAAGAAAAAAAGAAACCCUAUGCAUAUAUUGGAAUUUAUAUUUCUUAGACUUCUUUGGAGAAGAAAAUAAACAGAGAAAAGAUAUAAUAAAACUUUUCUGGGCCCAGUUCUGUUUUCCACUUUUGUUGCAUCCUCGUGCCCUCCAGCCUCGUGUUAGCAAGAUGGGAACUGGGGCUUCUGACAGCCUGGAAUAUUUUCUUUAUAUGCACUGCAGUUUUCAUUAUGGAAACAGAUAAAACCUCACCACUACCAGCAGACCCCAACUGGAUUCUACUUAUUUUAUCAACUUUAUUGUGCUCCAAAUUCGUCAUUCAGUGUUCCGGUCCCCCACCCCACCCUGCCAUGGGGACAGUCACAACAGGACCGUGCAUAUAUCUUAGGAUACUCAGUUCUGUCUCAGUAGGGCUGCUUCACUUCAGCUCACCGGACCAACAGGUUGGGGUUCUCAUCCAUGCAUAUGAAGCAAGGCCUCCAACUUCAUCUCUGACACAGGUGACAACCCCACGGGCUUGCGGUGCCGUCACCUUUUACGAUUGUGUCUGUGUGCAAACGCGCAUACAUUUCAUACAGCAAUCUGAAACUAUCAGGCAGAAAAGACACAGGAGCCUGGCUGAGACCCAUACAACUGUUAUAUUGGCGUCAGUCUAAAGAAAGCAAUGAUACAUUGCUUUGGAAAUUAUCAAGAAAUGUAAAAAAUGCAUUUGCCCUUUUUUUGUUGUUGUUGUCGUUGUCAUAGUCAUCAGGGGCAGGGUUCUGAGUCAGAAAACAAAGCAGAAAUAGAUGUGAUUCUGUACAUGGCGCCUCUCUGGCUGUCCCUCCGUGCUGGGGUGUGGUGAGCAGGGUAAUAAAACAGGCGGGAC